This 1370-nucleotide long non-coding RNA is filed under the name Lonchura striata (white-rumped munia). RNAcentral describes it as "domestica (Bengalese finch) lncRNA (ENSLSDG00000010372.1)". The record is from RNAcentral. Lineage: Eukaryota; Metazoa; Chordata; Aves; Passeriformes; Estrildidae.
UUCUCAGCUCCAUUCCAGUCUCCAAAAAUCCCUUCCUAAAACGCCUCUGCCCAGGGCAGCGCUGGAGGAUUGUCACCGGGAAGGGACGGGCAAUUCCCAUUCCUGGAAAAGCUGGAAAAGCUGGAAAAGCUGGAAAAGCUGCCCAGCCCCGCCCCGGGGGUGACAAAGGUGACAGCGAGGAGGUGGCACCGAUCCCUGCGGGAGUGGCAGCUCCGCCUCCCCUCAAGGGUUAAAUCCAAACCAGCCCCGGCGUGGAGCAAGGGGAAACAAUUCCCGAGAUUUUGGGGAAAAUUCCCCGUUUCCCAGCAUGGAAAUUCCCCAUUUUCCAGCUCAGAAAUUCCCAUUUCUCAGCAAGGAAAUUCCCCGUUUUCCACCUCAGAAAUUCCCAUUUCUCACCAAGGAAAUUCCCCACUUUUCACCUCAGAAAUUCCCCAUUCCCCGUUCCUGCUGCUGCAAUCCCGGGGGAUUUGGGCUGGAAUCCUCUGGGGGAUUUGGGCUGGAAUCGUCCCGGGGAUUUGGGCUGGAAUCGUCCCGGGGAUUUGGGCUGGAAUCCUCCGGGGGAUUUGGGCUGGAAUCGUCCCGGGGAUUUGGGCUGGAAUCCUCCGGGGGAUUUGGGCUGGAAUCGUCCCAGGGAUUUGGGCUGGAAUCCUCCGGGGGAUUUGGGCUGGAAUCCUCCGGGGGAUUUGGGCUGGAAUCCUCCGGGGAUUUGGGCUGGAAUCGUCCCGGGGAUUUGGGCUGGAAUCCUCCAGGGAUUUGGGCUGGAAUCGUCCCGGGGAUUUGGGCUGGAAUCGUCCCGGGGAUUUGGGCUGGAAUCCUCUGGGGAUUUGGGCUGGAAUCCUCCGGGGAUUUGGGCUGGAAUCCUCCGGGGAUUUGGGCUGGAAUCCUCCGGGGAUUUGGGCUGGAAUCGUCCCGGGGAUUUGGGCUCCUGCCGCCCCUCGGGAUGAGGAUCCCGGCUGGGAAUUUCUCCCAGCUCCAGCAGGAUCCAAACUGGUGGGGUGGGAGGCGGGGGAGGACGAAAUGUUCCAUUUUUGUGUCCCCAGCGAAGCUCCUGCUGCCCCAACCUCUGCCACCUCUGCCACCCCUGCGUGCCACCCGCAGCUCAGGACCUGCUCCCGACAUUCCCGGGGCUCCCAAAAACGCGGAAUUUUACAAUUUUGGCCGAGGAGUUUGUGCCAGAGUCCGGCCGGGGCUGUUCCUCCUCCCUGCGGCGUCUCCGUGGGGUGGUGGCAGCAGGGAGGGGACAGGAGGGGACACUGAGGCAGGGCGGGGAGCAGAGAAUUCCAGGUGAGGAAAAACCCUCCCGGAAAGGCAAAAUCCCAACGGAGGCUGACGGAAAUAAACGCAAACGGAUCCGGGAGCGCUCCCCUCCU